GUCAAAGAUUAGAUACUAUAAAGAUGUGUCACUCUGCGAAAAUUAUGUCCGAGAUUUUUUUAUAGCCGCCAUUUUGCCAGUAAGUGUCAAAUUCAACGCCAUCAGUCUCUUAAAUAGUAAAAUCCAACGCCAUCAGUCUCGCCGCCAUUUUGGCAGUAAGUGAAAAUUACGGACACGCAAACAUUAGGGAAAUACGUCGAGUGACACAUCUUUAUAGUAUCUAAUCUUUGGU
This is a non-coding RNA of Paramuricea clavata, 232 nucleotides long. The record is from the annotation of a GenBank genome assembly. NCBI's taxonomy places the organism in Eukaryota, Metazoa, Cnidaria, Anthozoa, Malacalcyonacea, Plexauridae.